Molecule: long non-coding RNA, 1834 nt
Organism: Mustela lutreola (European mink)
Lineage: Eukaryota; Metazoa; Chordata; Mammalia; Carnivora; Mustelidae
Exons: 3
Source: RefSeq, a predicted model, not a curated record
GUGGAUGCGAGAACCCCCUGCUCUGUGUUACACUUGGUAAACAACACCACAGGUUGCUUUCAGUGACCGUGAGAGUUCUUCAGAUUCCAACUUGCAGAACGUUCCUCGGGGACCCUGUGAUGCCCAAGCAGGAGAAUGGUCAGUUUUGGGGUCGAGCUGGUGGGCCUGUCUGAGGUGGCUCUCCCUGGGAGCAGGUCCCAGAAGCUACCGUUCCCCGUCGGGUUCUGUGACUUCUUCCAGUCUCUUUGCUCCUUCCUGUCACAUUCUGACUGGUUUCAAUGGAGCGGAAUCAGGCAUGUCUCUGUGGAACACGCUCAGAGGUUUUGGAGGACAUCUUGCGUACCCCUUUUUUAACCUGGUAAGUGGGACUCUCUGAAGCCAUUCCAAUCCCGGGUUGGAAAGCCAGCUUCAUAACUUACUCAGCACAUGACCUUGAAGAAAUAACUUACCCUUUUUUUUCAAAAGAUUUUAUUUAUUUAUUUGAUAGAGACACAGCAAGAGAGGGAACACAAGCAGGGGUAGAGGGAGAGAGAGAAGCAGGUUUCCUGUCGAGCAGGGAGCCUGAUGCAGGCCUUGAUCCCAGGACCCUGGAAUCAUGAAGGCAGACGCUUAACGACUGAACCUCCCAGGUGCCCAGGGGAUGAGUAUUCUUCAUCCCCUCGUGAUGUUACCAGAACGAUGAAAAAUUGUAUAAAAUACACACACACACACCCCACCUAGUGCCAUGCCUAUGGCUCAGUAAAUACAGCUGUCAUUCAUUCCAUUUGAGAAGGCAGAAAUAAAGCUGAAACAAAAUAUGGUUGGUGGGGGAUAGAUGUCCCCACAGGAUUGUUUUGGUUAACAGAGUGUUUUUAAAAAGAUUUAUUUAUAAAAAGGAUUUAUUAUUCAUAAAUACUUGUAUAUUUAUAAAUAUUAUCUACUUAUUUAUUUGCAUUGGGGGAGGGGCAGAGGGAGAGAGAGAAUCUCAAGCAAAUUUCCCGCUGAGCACAGAGCCCGAGGCAGGGCUGGAUCUCAGGACCCUGAGAUCAUGACCUGAGCUGAAGCCAAGAGUCAAGCGCUUCACCGACUGCACCCCCUGGGCACCCCGUGAUUUUGAACAGGACUAAUAUGGGCAAACAAUGUUCAGAGCUGCAGCUCACCUUUCUCUUCCCACCUAUGUUCUAGGAAAACAGUUUGCUAACAUCCUGUGUUUCUACUGAAGGGCAGGGCUGUUCGAGAGCUUCUGUAUUUAUUUGACUCUUAGGCUUGGACAGUGUCUCGGUUGGAUUCGUGUCCUGUUAGACAGUUACGGGUUCUUCACUUUUUUCAAAAUUGCUUUGGAGGAUUUAUAGAAUCUUGUUAUUUUGCUGUGAGAUGCUGGACGUUGGAGUGACUUGUCACAGAUUGAGGUGUUAUGCUUGCAGUGAGGUGACAAAAGCACAUGGAUGUCCCUGGGGUUGAUUGUAGAUGCCAUACAGCACAAGAAACCAGGUCCCCACAAGAAGAGGAGAUAAACACUGACAAAUUCCACGUUAGAAUCACGAGAGCUUUCAUCUGCUAGUUCACUUGAUCAUAAGUAUAUCUGAAUGUUGUGGGUGUGCCUUAUGUGAUGCGAGAAUCAGGAAAUAUACAGAAGAAAUGGCUGAGCUUAUUUAAUAUUUAGGUAAAUAUUUCUUUGAGCUGGCUUUGAAAUAUAAUGCACUUCUGCAUUGGUGGCAAAGGUUACAAAGCUAAUAACGUUUCAUAAGGUCCCGGAGACCAGAUUACAUACGCAACAUAUCUCUUCUGGGCUGAGGCUGUUAAAAGCAAGUGUGCCUUGUUCACCUACCUCUUCCCUUAAAGUGGUGACCUUGAC